This 292-nucleotide ribosomal RNA is filed under the name uncultured bacterium. Its description in RNAcentral is "partial 16S ribosomal RNA". It matches the Rfam family "Bacterial small subunit ribosomal RNA", at positions 505 to 796 of the family's 1533-position model. The record is from RNAcentral.
GUGCCAGCAGCCGCGGUAAGACAGAGGCCCCAAGCGUUAGGCGGAAUCACUGGGCUUAAAGCGCGUGUAGGCGGACCGUUAAGUGCCUUGUGAAAUCCCGCGGCUCAACCGCGGAACCGCUGGGCAUACUGGCGGUCUUGGGCCACUCAGGGGUCACUGGAACAAGCGGUGGAGCGGUGAAAUGCGUAGAUAUCGCUUGGAACGCCGAAGGUGAAGACAGGUGACUGGGGGUGUGCCGACGCUGAGACGCGAAAGCCAGGGGAGCAAACGGGAUUAGAUACCCCCGUAGUCC